Molecule: long non-coding RNA, 1217 nt
Filed under: Homo sapiens (human)
Lineage: Eukaryota; Metazoa; Chordata; Mammalia; Primates; Hominidae
Description: JPX transcript, XIST activator
Rfam family: JPX transcript, XIST activator conserved region 1 (bases 1-126)
Source: RNAcentral
UGGAAGACUUAAGAUGGCGGCGUUUGCACGGAGUGCAAUCACUGCGUCCUUACGGGGGUUGCAAGGCGUCCGAAGUAUGAGUCCACUAACAAAAGUCCAGAAACUCGCCAGUUAAUAGUAUUGUGUCUCUUCAAAAUAUCGGAGAAUAAUUUCUUUCUCGCUGAUCGCCUAACUUCUACUGACGAAGCUUGGAAGUUGCAGAAGGUUGGAGUGCAAUGGCGCGAUCUCGGCUGACUGCAACCUCCACCUCCUGGAUUCAAGCUAUUCUCCUGCCUCAGCCUGCCGAGUAGCUGGGAUUACAGGCAUGUGCCACCGCACCCAGCUAAUUUUGUAUUUUUUAGUAGAGAUGGGGUUUCUCCAUGUUGGUCAGGCUGGUCUUGAACUCCUGACCUCAGGUGAUCCGCCCACCUCAGCCUCCCAAAGUGCUGGGAUUACAGGCGUGAGCCACCGCGCCCGGCCAGAACAUUAGUUUUAAACUUCCUAACCCUUGGGAGAAGGCAAAACACUUGAUGAAAUCUACAUAAAGACUAAAACAUUUUACCAAUUUUGCAUUGUUUGUUUGAAAUUGCAUUGACGACUGAUGGAGUUCGCUCUUGUUGCCCAGGCUGGAAUGCAAUGGCAUGACCUUGGCUCACUGCAACCUCUGCCUCCCCAGUUCAAGUGGUUCUCCUGCCUCAGCCUCCCGAGUAGCUGAGAUUACAGUUUCUUCAAAGGAAAGAAGCAACUGGAACACACAUAUAACACUAACCCUUCCAGCUGCAUUAUGAGGGACCAGUACCUGUCUCAAGGCAAAAUUAUGACUUAGUUCAUCCUCACCUCUGGAGGCCAGUAAAAGUGGGUUAUAGAAGAACAAAGAGGCAUCUAGAUCUUUCACUGGGUUAUUUGGAGAGAAACAUCUCCUACCGAAGGCCAGUUUAACAAGACUGGUAGAGGAGGUUAUCUUAUCUAAUUCACAGAAAUCAACACAUUGAGUCAAGAAAAAUGAAACACAGAAACACUCUAAAUAAAAGAAGAUAAGUCUUCAGAAACCAACCCUAAUGAAAUGAAGAUAUGUGAUUAACCUGACAGGAAAUUAAAAAGAGCAACCAUAAAGAGUCUCAUGGGAGCAAUGCAUGAACAAACUGAGAAUUUUCAUAAAGAAAUAAAAGAUAACAAAAAGUAUAAAGUUGAAGAAUACAAUAACUGGACUCAAAAAUUUAAUGUGUCCAACAGAAGAA